Molecule: non-coding RNA, 1138 nt
Organism: Lolium perenne
Lineage: Eukaryota; Viridiplantae; Streptophyta; Magnoliopsida; Poales; Poaceae
Source: RefSeq, a predicted model, not a curated record
GACGACGGCAGCCUCAGGCGUCAUGGAGGAGGGAGGCGGCGCAGUGGGGAAGCAACGACGGGAGAAGGGCGAGCAGUGACGCCGGAUGGGAUGGCCGCCGUGGCGGGCGAGAGGAGGCGCUGCAGGAGCGGGUCCCGGAGGAGGGCGCUGGCGGCGCUAGUGGAGUCCCGCUGGUGUCUUCCUUUCAUCUCCCCACGGCGGUUGGCGGUGCAAAGAAGGGCGACAAGCCACGGGAGCUCGCCGCGCCCGUGCAGCACUCGCCUAUGCCCCUCAUUCUCAGCGCGUUCUCGUCUCCAUCACACAAGUUAGAUGAUGACAACAGCAAUGCCUCCAAUGAAGGCUUCAAGCAGGUCACAUGUACGUUGCUUCUCUUCCCAGUGCAAGUUGAGAAGAGGAAGAUUCAAGGAGCAGCGUGUUUAGGAUAAUUGGAACAAAGAUCCUAAUGAUAUCAUCACUUAAAUGUUAUCUGAAGCAGCCCAAAGUGAGAGUUAUCAGAUCGUUGAGCUCUUUAUUAGAAAUCUCACCACCUGCAGUUGUAGCAGCUAAUGAAUGUGCUAUUAGGUUAUAUAUGAAGCAAGAUUUGGCAAUCAAAAAAUUGUAUCAACCACAAAAUAUCAUCAGAAAGUAACUAGGAGGUCUCCACAAAGUGAUUGUCGGUCUCCAUCGAUGUUCAUUAUGUUCUGAGAAAAAAUGGAUGAUUAUGGGUGAGGUAUCAAGCUCGGCAGAUGAAGGAGGUUUGAGGGCAUGUAGAUCAGUACACGCGGCUCAGAGCGGUACAAGUCGUUGUGCCUAUCUCAGCAACUUGGUGUGGCUGAGACUCUUGCGCCUGACAUAAAUGCUUUUCGAGUAGAGUACCCGGCCAACCAGGCCACUCCAAGGAGGCAAAUCCAUCUGCUGCGUCCGUUACCACCACACAGUCAAGUUUUACCCUGCAGUGAAUUACCACCGUUGGAUUUGUCCGUUUCCACCAUUUGUCGGUAAUCAUAUUCUUCUCCAUAUGGUCGGUAAUGAAGAUAAUGAUGUGGUCGGUAAUAUUAUUUUUUUCCAUAGAUCAGUCCAACUAGAGACAAUGAUGAACAUAUGAGUUGUUGAAAAGGUCUUAUUAAUCACCCGAAUUUGAGCAUAAUGGAGAUGUUGA